ACACAUGCUUCCUCACACAAAAUUCAUUCAUACACCAUGCCUAGCAUCAUGACCACAAUCAUAAAUUCAUCACCCAUCUAUUUCAUGGAUAUCAUCAUGCAUUACUACUCAAUUCUCUUCCACAUCAAAUAAUCAUCAAAUAGAUCCAUCAUGCAAAUUAGUUAGCCAAACAUUUUCAGAACAAGUAAUAAAGCCAAGAAUACACACCAAAAUUAAAAUUCAACUUAUUCUAGGAAUUUAAAAUGCAAAAGUGUAAGAAGAAAUUCUAGGUUGCCUCCUAGUAAACAUCACGAGCCUGACCCAAACCUGGUUGGCACUUGUCAGUAAGUGCACUACCUUCCACCACCCAACAGUAGGUGUACCUUCCGGAUGUCCUUCGGUAGAUACCUAUAUCUUCUAACAUCCCCCAGUAGAUGCUAUCCCAGUAGCACUCAUCAGUAAAUGCUAAUCUUUCUAAUCUUCAUUGGCAUCCAUCAGUAAAUGCCAUAUCACCUAACAUCCAUCAGUAGAUGUUGUAUAAGCAUCCAUCAGUAGAUGCUAUCAUCACUACCAUCAGACGCAACGCAUAACCAAAAAAAAAUAAACAAAUAAAAUAAAAUAAAAUAAAACCAAAUCAAAUAAAAUCAAAUAAAAUAAAAAAAAUCAAAUAAAAGAAAAUAAAAUAAAAUAAAAUAAAAUCAAAACGAAAUUGAAGAUAAAAAUUAAGAAACUGGGUUGCCUCCCAACAAGCACUCUUUUAACGUCAUUAGCUUGACCCGGUAAAACCCAAACACCCAUCAGUAGGUGUUGAAAUUUUAUGUUGGUGUUCCUCCUUCCUUCGUGACACCAACAACAUCUCGGAAAUUUCCUUUGUCACCAACUGUAAGAGCUGUGUUUGCUUUGAUAGUCUCGACAACCCAUAACCUAAUUUUGAAUUUCAUUGAUGUGCCAGGUUAGGGUUUGUUACUUUUCACAUCAGGGUGUUGGUGAACCAAUUCUCCUUCUUUAUCUGCCUCCUGAUGGUCAUGUGCUCCUAGUACCAAAAAUUUUAUCCUGCAUACACUAAAGAACACUGCACUAGAGCAUAAAAU
RNAcentral lists this long non-coding RNA (1070 nucleotides) under Vigna radiata. Its description in RNAcentral is "long non-coding RNA (VRAD_LNC009902)". Lineage: Eukaryota; Viridiplantae; Streptophyta; Magnoliopsida; Fabales; Fabaceae. The record is from RNAcentral.